UGUCUUUUUGAAAAUAAUAUAAAGUCUAAUCUGCCCACUGAUUUAAAUUAAAGGGCUGCAGUAUAUUGACUGUACAAAGGUAGCAUAAUCAUUAGUCAUUUAAUUGAUGACUUGUAUGAAAGAUUGGAUGAAAUAUAAACUGUCUCUCAAUUAAAAAUAGAAUUUAAUUUUUUAAUUAAAAAGUUAAAAUAAUUUAAAAAGACGAGAAGACCCUAUAGAGUUUUAUAGAUAAAUUAAUUAAGGUUAUUUAUUAAAAUUAAAAUUAAUUUAUUUAUUCUAUUGGGGUGAUAGAAAAAUAUAUUUAACUUUUUUUUUAUAAAAACAUUUAUAAGUGAUUAAAUGAUCCAUUAUUAAUGAUUAUAAGAAAAAAUUACCUUAGGGAUAACAGCGUAAUUUUUUUUUUUAGUUCACAUAAGAAAAAGAGUUUGCGACCUCGAUGUUGGAUUAAGAUAAAAUUUAAAUGCAGAAG
This 469-nucleotide ribosomal RNA is filed under the name Feraxinia serena. RNAcentral describes it as "partial 16S large subunit ribosomal RNA". Lineage: Eukaryota; Metazoa; Arthropoda; Insecta; Lepidoptera; Noctuidae. The record is from RNAcentral.